This 494-nucleotide ribosomal RNA is filed under the name uncultured bacterium. Its description in RNAcentral is "partial 16S ribosomal RNA". It matches the Rfam family "Bacterial small subunit ribosomal RNA", at positions 28 to 507 of the family's 1533-position model. The record is from RNAcentral.
GACGAACGCUGGCGGCGUGCUUAACACAUGCAAGUCGAACGGUGAAGCGCCUUCCUUUUUGGUUGGUGUGGAUGAGUGGCGAACGGGUGAGUAACACGUUAGUAACCUGCCCCCUUCUUCUGGAUAACCGCAUGAAAGUGUGGCUAAUACGGGAUAUUCUGGGUCUGUCGCAUGAUGGGUCUGGGAAAGAUAUUGUUUCGGUGGGGGAUGGGCUCGCGGCCUAUCAGCUUGUUGGUGGGGUGAUGGCCUACCAAGGCGGUGACGGGUAGCCGGCCUGAGAGGGUGGACGGUCACACUGGGACGGAGACACGGCGCAGACUCCUACGGGAGGCAGCAGUGGGGAAUAUUGCACAAUGGGCGCAAGCCUGAUGCAGCGACGCCGCGUGAGGGAUGGAGGCCGUCGGGUUGUGAACCUCUUUCGCCAGUGAAGCAGGCCUGCCUCGUUUGUGGGUGGGUUGACGGUAGCUGGAUAAGAAGCGCCGGCUAACUACGUG